This 585-nucleotide ribosomal RNA is filed under the name uncultured Bacteroidales bacterium. RNAcentral describes it as "bacterial SSU rRNA". It matches the Rfam family "Bacterial small subunit ribosomal RNA", at positions 59 to 643 of the family's 1533-position model. Lineage: Bacteria; Pseudomonadati; Bacteroidota; Bacteroidia; Bacteroidales. The record is from RNAcentral.
CAGCAUGGUAGGUAGCAAUACUUAUUGAUGGCGACCGGCGCACGGGUGAGUAACGCGUAUGCAACUUACCUAUCAGAGGGGGAUAGCCCGGCGAAAGUCGGAUUAAUACUCCAUAAAACAGGGGUCCCGCAUGGGACUAUUUGUUAAAGAUUCAUCGCUGAUAGAUAGGCAUGCGUUCCAUUAGGCAGUUGGCGGGGUAACGGCCCACCAAACCGACGAUGGAUAGGGGUUCUGAGAGGAAGGUCCCCCACAUUGGUACUGAGACACGGACCAAACUCCUACGGGAGGCAGCAGUGAGGAAUAUUGGUCAAUGGCCGAGAGGCUGAACCAGCCAAGUCGCGUGAAGGAUGAAGGAUCUAUGGUUUGUAAACUUCUUUUAUAGGGGAAUAAAGUGUGGGACGUGUCCCAUUUUGUAUGUACCCUAUGAAUAAGCAUCGGCUAACUCCGUGCCAGCAGCCGCGGUAAUACGGAGGAUGCGAGCGUUAUCCGGAUUUAUUGGGUUUAAAGGGUGCGUAGGUGGUAAUUUAAGUCAGCGGUGAAAGUUUGUGGCUCAACCAUAAAAUUGCCGUUGAAACUGGGUUACUU